Molecule: ribosomal RNA, 273 nt
Filed under: uncultured bacterium
Lineage: Bacteria
Description: partial 16S ribosomal RNA
Rfam family: Bacterial small subunit ribosomal RNA
Source: RNAcentral
CACGUAGGAUCCAAACGUUAUCCGGAUUUACUGGGCGUAAAGCGCGUGCAGGCGGUUUGGUAAGUUGGAUGUGAAAGCUCCUGGCUCAACCGGGAGAUGUCGUUCAAAACUACCAGACUCGAGGACGGUAGAGGGAGGUGGAAUUCCGGGUGUAGUGGUGAAAUGCGUAGAUAUCCGGAGGAACACCAGUGGCGAAGGCGGCCUCCUGGGCCGUUCCUGACGCUCAGACGCGAAAGCUAGGGUAGCAAACGGGAUUAGAAACCCCCGUAGUCC